Molecule: long non-coding RNA, 643 nt
Filed under: Trifolium pratense (red clover)
Lineage: Eukaryota; Viridiplantae; Streptophyta; Magnoliopsida; Fabales; Fabaceae
Description: long non-coding RNA (TPRA_LNC009469)
Source: RNAcentral
GUGGGCAAGUGCGUCCCAUUUGCUCAGCGUGGGGGCAACAUAGGUAUCGUCCAAGUAGUCAGGGACGAAGAAGUCUUCAGUUCUGGAGAUGGCAAGGGCAACUGGCUUGUGCCCGGAUCGUUCUGGUGCAGCUUCUUCAGUGUUGCUGGUCUCAGCAGCUUCUGCCCGGGGAGCAUUGCUCCUCUUCACGUAUUGUUUCAUUUGUCCAUUUCUAAUCAGAAUUUCAAUGGCGUCUUUAAGUUGUAUGCAAUCGUCAGUCAGAUGGCCGUAACCUUUGUGAUAUUUGCAGUACCUGCUCUUGUCUUGGCCAGGCUUUGUGGGUUGUUGUCUUGGAAAUUUAAUUCCUGCUUUAGUGAACUCAGCUGAGUUGCACUCUUUCCAAAUUUCUUCCUGGGAUUUGCUAAGGGGAGUAUAGUUGCUGAACGUGCUAGGAGGUCCACGGGGUUCCCUAGGCCUUUCGCCUCUUCGUCUUCCUCCUCCUCGGCUGGAGUGUUCAGCAUUUGAACGAGGAGCAGGUUGACUGUUUCCUGCUCGCCCAUAACGGGCAGCGUCUGCAGCUUGUUGCUCUUCAUAUUGGAUGUAUGGUUGAGACUUGAGGAGGAGGUCGCUAAAGGUGCGUGGUUUUUCGAUUCCCACGGCUUUU